CACUCUAAGCGAUUUUGGGUUAAAAUAUAAAUAACACUAUAGGAGGAAGAAAUGGAUUCUCCAUGUAUAAAGGACAGCUAUGAAAAAUUUUUGUGGGUUUGUGUCUAUAAGUAAGACUUCAUAACAUGAAAGCACAAUUUAAAAGUUUUCCCUAUUAAGUCCUGGAAUUAAUUAAUAAAAUAUUUAAAAAAAUUAAAAGUUUUCCCUAUUAAGUCCUGGAAUUAAUUAAUAAAAUAUUUAAAAAAAUUAAAAGUUUUCCCUAUUAAGUCCUGGAAUUAAUUAAUAAAAUAUUUA
RNAcentral lists this unclassified non-coding RNA (294 nucleotides) under Hevea brasiliensis (rubber tree). The record is from RNAcentral. Lineage: Eukaryota; Viridiplantae; Streptophyta; Magnoliopsida; Malpighiales; Euphorbiaceae.